UACAGAGGUCCCAAGCGUUGUUCGGAUUCAUUGGGCGUAAAGGGCGCGUAGGCGGCUCGGCACGUCCGUUGUGAAAUCGCCCGGCUCAACUGGGCGGGGUCAGCGGAUACGGUCGAGCUUGAGCAAGCUAGGGGGCAAUGGAAUUCCCGGUGUAGUGGUGGAAUGCGUAGAUAUCGGGAGGAACACCAGUGGCGAAGGCGGUUGCCUGGGGCUUUGCUGACGCUGAUGCGCGAAAGCGUGGGAGCGAGUCCGG
This 253-nucleotide ribosomal RNA is filed under the name uncultured bacterium. Its description in RNAcentral is "partial 16S ribosomal RNA". It matches the Rfam family "Bacterial small subunit ribosomal RNA", at positions 524 to 776 of the family's 1533-position model. The record is from RNAcentral.